RNAcentral lists this ribosomal RNA (193 nucleotides) under Oenococcus oeni. RNAcentral describes it as "partial 16S ribosomal RNA". It matches the Rfam family "Bacterial small subunit ribosomal RNA", at positions 1 to 171 of the family's 1533-position model. Lineage: Bacteria; Bacillati; Bacillota; Bacilli; Lactobacillales; Lactobacillaceae. The record is from RNAcentral.
UUUAAAUUGAGAGUUUGAUCCUGGCUCAGGAUGAACGCUGGUGGCGUGCCUAAUACAUGCAAGUCGUACGCUAGCCGCUGAAUUGAUCCUUCGGGUGAAGUGAGGCAAUGACUAGAGUGGCGAACUGGUGAGUAACACGUAAGAAACCUGCCCUUUAGUGGGGGAUAACAUUUGGAAACAGAUGCUAAUACCG